AAUAGAAGCCAAGAUUAGAGGCUUUUCACUGUUAAUGAAAUGAUUGAUUAUUCCUAUU
This 58-nucleotide transfer RNA is filed under the name Hyalomma asiaticum. Its description in RNAcentral is "tRNA-Asn". The record is from RNAcentral. Lineage: Eukaryota; Metazoa; Arthropoda; Arachnida; Ixodida; Ixodidae.